Molecule: long non-coding RNA, 279 nt
Filed under: Elaeis guineensis (African oil palm)
Lineage: Eukaryota; Viridiplantae; Streptophyta; Magnoliopsida; Arecales; Arecaceae
Description: long non-coding RNA (EGUI_LNC036125)
Source: RNAcentral
GAACCAGAAUGUAGUCGGUGUUGAGAUAGUCAAUCCUCUGACUUUUAUAGUGAAAAUCGAAGUAUAUCCGAUGUCAAGAUAGUCGAUCUUUUGAUUUUUACAGUAAAAGUCAAAGUAUAUUCGAUGUCAAGAUAAUUGAUCCUCUGACUUUUACAGUGAAAGUCGAAGUAUAUUCAGUGUCGCUUUAAAAUCACAGUCAGGACGUCAAUUUUUACAAGAGGACCAAAAUAUAGUCGACAUUAAAGUAGUUGAUUCUUUGAGUAGUUGCAUUCGGAAGGA